This 346-nucleotide ribosomal RNA is filed under the name uncultured bacterium. RNAcentral's name for it is "partial 16S ribosomal RNA". It matches the Rfam family "Bacterial small subunit ribosomal RNA", at positions 338 to 681 of the family's 1533-position model. The record is from RNAcentral.
CCUACGGGGGGCAGCAGUGAGGAAUAUUGGUCAAUGGACGAGAGUCUGAACCAGCCAAGUAGCGUGAAGGAUGACUGCCCUAUGGGUUGUAAACUUCUUUUAUAAAGGAAUAAAACGAGGCACGUGUGCGAUGUUGUAUGUACCAUAUGAAUAAGGAUCGGCUAACUCCGUGCCAGCAGCCGCGGUAAUACGGAGGAUCCGAGCGUUAUCCGGAUUUAUUGGGUUUAAAGGGAGCGUAGGUGGGUUGUUCAGUCAGUUGUGAAAGUUUGCGGCUCAACCGUAAAAUUGCAGUUGAUCCUGGCAGUCUUGAGUACAGUUGAGGUGGGCGGAAUUCGUGGUGUAGCGG